RNAcentral lists this ribosomal RNA (419 nucleotides) under bacterium. RNAcentral describes it as "partial 16S ribosomal RNA". It matches the Rfam family "Bacterial small subunit ribosomal RNA", at positions 355 to 776 of the family's 1533-position model. The record is from RNAcentral.
UGGGGGAUAUUGCACAAUGGGCGAAAGCCUGAUGCAGCGACGCCGCGUGGGGGAUGAAGGCCUUCGGGUUGUAAACUUCUUUUGCUCUGAACAAGGCAUGCUAAUGGGUGUGUUGAGUGUAGGGGUUGAUUAGCGCCGGCUAACUACGUGCCAGCAGCCGCGGUAAUACGUAGGGCGCGAGCGUUGUCCGGAAUUAUUGGGCGUAAAGGGCUUGUAGGUGGCUGGUUGCGUCUGUCGUGAAAGCUCAUGACUUAACUGUGGGUUUGCGGUGGGUACGGGCUGGCUUGAGUGCAGUAGGGGAGGCUGGAAUUCCUGGUGUAGCGGUGGAAUGCGCAGAUAUCAGGAGGAAUACCGGUGGCGAAGGCGGGUCUCUGGGCUGUUACUGACACUGAGGAGCGAAAGCAUGGGGAGCGAACAGG